This 318-nucleotide small RNA is filed under the name Pongo abelii (Sumatran orangutan). Its description in RNAcentral is "processed transcript". Lineage: Eukaryota; Metazoa; Chordata; Mammalia; Primates; Hominidae. The record is from RNAcentral.
UCUGGAAUACAAGUUACAUGAUUUUGGCUACAGAGGAGUCUCUUCCCAAGAGACUGCUGGCAUAGGAGCAUCUGCUCAUUUGGUUAACUUCAAAGGAACUGAUACAGUAGCAGGAAUUGCUCUAAUUAAAAAAUAUUAUGGAACGAAAGAUCCUGUUCCAGGCUAUUCUGUUCCAGCAGCAGAACACAGGUAAAAAAUUCUGUUCAUUUUCUAAAAUUACUAAUUUUUUCACUCUUGUAUUUGUAACUCAGUGACAUUUUACCUAACUGCAGAGCCAGGUACCUACAAUAAAUCUUCAUGAACUUGAGCAACACAAAU